AUUGAACGCUGGCGGCAUGCUUUACACAUGCAAGUCGAACGGUAACAGGCCUUCGGGUGCUGACGAGUGGCGAACGGGUGAGUAAUGCAUCGGAACGUGCCCAGAGGUGGGGGAUAACGCAGCGAAAGCUGUGCUAAUACCGCAUGUGAUCUGAGGAUGAAAGCGGGGGACCAAGCAGCAAUGUUUGGCCUCGCGCCUCUGGAGCGGCCGAUGUCAGAUUAGGUAGUUGGUGGGGUAAAGGCCUACCAAGCCGACGAUCUGUAGCUGGUCUGAGAGGACGACGGGCGACAGUGGGGCUGAGAGACGGCCCAGGCGCCUACGGGAGGCAGCAGUGGGGAAGUUUGGGCAAUGGGCGCAAGCCUGAUCCAGCAAUGCCGCGUGUGGGAAGAAGGCCUUCGGGUUGUAAACCGCUUUUGUACGGAACGAAAAGGGUCUGGCUAAUACCUGGGGCUGAUGACGGUACCGUAAGAAUAAGCACCGGCUAACUACGU
Molecule: ribosomal RNA, 491 nt
Filed under: uncultured bacterium
Lineage: Bacteria
Description: partial 16S ribosomal RNA
Rfam family: Bacterial small subunit ribosomal RNA
Source: RNAcentral